Molecule: unclassified non-coding RNA, 203 nt
Filed under: Hevea brasiliensis (rubber tree)
Lineage: Eukaryota; Viridiplantae; Streptophyta; Magnoliopsida; Malpighiales; Euphorbiaceae
Source: RNAcentral
AAAAGUCAUAGACAUCUGCAUUGCUCGGCUGGGAAAGCGAUACUGUGGAUUAUCUGUCCAUCAACUAGUCUCUACAUUUGAUGGUAAACUAUCCUCCUUGUACUUCAACACAGUUGAAGAUUCAGAUUCGAACUGUAAAGCCAACUAGCGCCAUAAUCAGAAUUUGCAUUGCAAUUUAGCUCUCGAUAUCCUUUUCGAUGGAG